Molecule: ribosomal RNA, 360 nt
Filed under: uncultured bacterium
Lineage: Bacteria
Description: bacterial SSU rRNA
Rfam family: Bacterial small subunit ribosomal RNA
Source: RNAcentral
AACGAACGCUGGCGGCAUGCCUAACACAUGCAAGUCGAACGAAGGCUUCGGCCUUAGUGGCGCACGGGUGCGUAACGCGUGGGAACCUGCCCCUCGGUUCGGAAUAACAGUUAGAAAUGACUGCUAAUACCGGAUGAUGACUUCGGUCCAAAGGUUUAUCGCCGAGGGAUGGGCCCGCGUAGGAUUAGCUAGUUGGUGGGGUAAAGGCCUACCAAGGCGACGAUCCUUAGCUGGUCUGAGAGGAUGAUCAGCCACACUGGGACUGAGACACGGCCCAGACUCCUACGGGAGGCAGCAGUGGGGAAUAUUGGACAAUGGGCGCAAGCCUGAUCCAGCCAUGCCGCGUGAGUGAUGAAGGCC